GGUGAACGCUGGCGGCGUGCCUAAUACAUGCUAGUCGAGCGAACGGACGAGAAGCUUGCUUCUCUGAUGUUAGCGGCGGACGGGUGAGUAACACGUGGAUAACCUACCUAUAAGACUGGGAUAACUUCGGGAAACCGUAGCUAAUACCGGAUAAUAUUUUGAACCGCAUGGUUCAAAAGUGAAAGACGGUCUUGCUGUCACUUAUAGAUGGAUCCGCGCUGCAUUAGCUAGUUGGUAAGGUAACGGCUUACCAAGGCAACGAUGCAUAGCCGACCUGAGAGGGUGAUCGGCCACACUGGAACUGAGACACGGUCCAGACUCCUACGGGAGGCAGCAGUAGGGAAUCUUCCGCAAUGGGCGAAAGCCUGACGGAGCAACGCCGCGUGAGUGAUGAAGGUCUUCGGAUCGUAAAACUCUGUUAUUAGGGAAGAACAUAUGUGUAAGUAACUGUGCACAUCUUGACGGUACCUAAUCAGAAAGCCACGGCUAACUACGUG
Molecule: ribosomal RNA, 497 nt
Filed under: uncultured bacterium
Lineage: Bacteria
Description: partial 16S ribosomal RNA
Rfam family: Bacterial small subunit ribosomal RNA
Source: RNAcentral